CAGUAGCCGCGGUAAUACAGAGGGUGCGAGCGUUAAUCGGAUUUACUGGGCGUAAAGCGUGCGUAGGCGGCUUCUUAAGUCGGAUGUGAAAUCCCUGAGCUUAACUUAGGAAUUGCAUUCGAUACUAGGAAGCUAAAGUAUGGGAGAGGAUGGUAGAAUUCCAGGUGUAGCGGUGAAAUGCGUAGAGAUCUGGAGGAAUACCGAUGGCGAAGGCAGCCAUCUGGCCUAAUACUGACGCUGAGGUACGAAAGCAUGGGGAGCAAACAGGAUUAGAUACCCCGGUAGUCCCUGUCUCUUAUAC
RNAcentral lists this ribosomal RNA (301 nucleotides) under uncultured bacterium. RNAcentral's name for it is "partial 16S ribosomal RNA". It matches the Rfam family "Bacterial small subunit ribosomal RNA", at positions 509 to 807 of the family's 1533-position model. The record is from RNAcentral.